CGUAACCAAAGUCUCCGUUGGUGAACCAGCGGAGGGAUCAUUAUCGAGUUGUCCAACUCCCAACCCUUGCGAACCGUACCCAAUUCUGUUCUCGUUGCUUCUGGCGGGAGGCGGACUGGGCGGCGGGCAUGGCUGGCUUCGGCCGGUCUUGCCCUGCUGCCCGGGCCCCCCCUCGGUCCUCCCUCUGGCCUUCGGGCUGGAGACGAGGCGCCCGCCAGCGGUCGGCGAGCCACCCUGAACUCUUAACAACCUGUUUUAGUUACUGUCUGAGAAACAAAACAAAAUUAGCCAAAACUUUCAACAACGGAUCUCUUGGCUCUGGCAUCGAUGAAGAACGCAGCGAAAUGCGAUACGUAAUGCGAAUUGCAGAAUUCAGCGAGUCAUCGAAUCUUUGAACGCACAUUGCGCCCGCCAGCAUUCUGGCGGGCAUGCCUGUUCGAGCGUCAUUUCCCCCCUCAGCACGCCUUUAGCGCGCUGGCGUUGGGGCUCCUCCUCCCUCUGUGGCGGCAGGGCCCUCAAAUCCAGUGGCGGGCCCGACUGGUUGGCUCCGAGCGCAGUACCGAACGCAAGUUCUCUUCUCGCUCUGAAGCCCCGGCCGGUGCCCAGCCGUUAAGCCUGCGAGUGGCCUCCCAGCCGCUUGCUAUCUCUUUUACAAGGUUGACCUCGAAUCAGGUAGGACUACCCGCU
This 687-nucleotide ribosomal RNA is filed under the name Ophiostoma perfectum. RNAcentral describes it as "eukaryotic LSU rRNA". The stretch from base 293 to 446 matches the Rfam family "5.8S ribosomal RNA". Lineage: Eukaryota; Fungi; Ascomycota; Sordariomycetes; Ophiostomatales; Ophiostomataceae. The record is from RNAcentral.